This 85-nucleotide transfer RNA is filed under the name Thermoprotei archaeon. RNAcentral's name for it is "tRNA-Ser". It matches the Rfam family "tRNA". Rfam says of the family: Transfer RNA (tRNA) molecules are approximately 80 nucleotides in length. Their secondary structure includes four short double-helical elements and three loops (D, anti-codon, and T loops). Further hydrogen bonds mediate the characteristic L-shaped molecular structure. tRNAs have two regions of fundamental functional importance: the anti-codon, which is responsible for specific mRNA codon recognition, and the 3' end, to which the tRNAs corresponding amino acid is attached (by aminoacyl-tRNA synthetases). tRNAs cope with the degeneracy of the genetic code in two manners: having more than one tRNA (with a specific anti-codon) for a particular amino acid; and 'wobble' base-pairing, i.e. permitting non-standard base-pairing at the 3rd anti-codon position. RNAcentral also lists the same sequence under 1 other name. The record is from RNAcentral. Lineage: Archaea; Thermoproteati; Thermoproteota; Thermoprotei.
GCCGGGGUGGCCGAGUGGUCAAAGGCGGCAGCCCCGAGAGCUGUUGGUCCUUCGGGCCUCGCGGGUUCGAAUCCCGUCCCCGGCG